RNAcentral lists this ribosomal RNA (253 nucleotides) under uncultured Eubacteriales bacterium. RNAcentral's name for it is "uncultured Clostridiales bacterium partial 16S ribosomal RNA". It matches the Rfam family "Bacterial small subunit ribosomal RNA", at positions 524 to 776 of the family's 1533-position model. The record is from RNAcentral. Lineage: Bacteria; Bacillati; Bacillota; Clostridia; Eubacteriales.
UACGGAGGAUGCGAGCGUUAUCCGGAUUUAUUGGGUUUAAAGGGAGCGUAGGUGGAUUGUUAAGUCAGUUGUGAAAGUUUGCGGCUCAACCGUAAAAUUGCAGUUGAAACUGUCCAGCUGGAGUGCAGGAGAGGUAAGCGGAAUUCCUAGUGUAGCGGUGAAAUGCAUAGAUAUUAGGAGGAACACCAGUGGCGAAGGCGGCUUACUGGACUGUAACUGACACUGAGGCUCGAAAGCGUGGGGAGCAAACAGG